UACGGAGGGUGCAAGCGUUAAUCGGAAAUACUGGGCGUAAAGCGCGCGUAGGCGGCUUGGUCAGUCGGAUGUGAAAGCCCCGGGCUUAACCUGGGAAUUGCAUUCGAUACUGCCUAGCUAGAGUGUGGGAGAGGGUGGUGGAAUUCCCGGUGUAGCGGUGAAAUGCGUAGAUAUCGGGAGGAACAUCAGUGGCGAAGGCGACCGCCUGGCCCAACACUGACGCUCAGGUGCGAAAGCGUGGGGAGCAAACAGG
RNAcentral lists this unclassified non-coding RNA (253 nucleotides) under uncultured Gammaproteobacteria bacterium. RNAcentral describes it as "contains 16S-23S intergenic spacer region". It matches the Rfam family "Bacterial small subunit ribosomal RNA", at positions 524 to 776 of the family's 1533-position model. Lineage: Bacteria; Pseudomonadati; Pseudomonadota; Gammaproteobacteria. The record is from RNAcentral.